Paramacrobiotus metropolitanus is the source of this 1112-nucleotide long non-coding RNA. RefSeq lists it as uncharacterized. The record is from RefSeq and is a predicted model, not a curated record. The transcript is spliced from 3 exons. Lineage: Eukaryota; Metazoa; Tardigrada; Eutardigrada; Parachela; Macrobiotidae.
UACGCGCCGACUGGUGCAUGAAAUCGUUUUGAGAGCGACAAAUCGCUAACUCUUCUUCCAACUUGGACACCCGUUCGGACUCUGAGUGGCACUAGACUGGACAUCCUGAGACUGUGCCAGCUCGGAGUUGCGAAACUCAUCCAACUCUCCUCCGGUAUCUUCCAGGUCAGUGUUCAACUGCCGGAUCUGACCCAUGGACUGGACACUGCUGUUGAAAGAGCCAAUGAGUUUGCGAAUGCUCUUAAACAUCGUGCCGCUUGACUGCCGUGCAACUUGCGCAACAUCAUUAUCCGUUUCUGUCGCUUCAAGUGCUUUGUCGACUUGCACCACCUUCUCCAUAAAUGCGUUAUCGGGAGGAGCGAAAUCUGUUUCCGCCAAAAUUUUUCUCAAAUACUGUUGUGAAGGAUGAACUACCAUCACUUCCGACUCUUCAGCAGUAUGGCCGAUUACGGCCUGAUUUAACUGACUAUGUUCCGGUGAACCGGGCGCUGACAGGAAAUUUUCUUCACCGGAUAUCGGCGAUUGUACUACUGAUUCUCUUCUCGAAAUCUUUGAAAAAUCUAUAGGCUUUGCGCCAUCUGACACCACUUCCCGCUGAUCAUCCAAAAGGUUGAGCUGAUCAACUGGAAUGUUAGUUUCCUGUGCCUUAUUUUCAACCGCCUCUGUCAGUGCAUUUCCACUAGACAAAUCCUGCGUACUUCGUGUUUGACGAGUCGAUUCCAUUGGCUGCGGCUGCUCGCUUGCAGAUACUGCUGCUUUUCGCUCUUCCGUUUUCUUUUUAUACUCGGGUAAUUGUUCAUAUGCCCGUUUAACCGCUUCCUGAAACUCUUCGUCUGAAAUUUCCAGGUACGCUUCCGGUAUACACUGUUCUGAUUCUACCCAACCACGGUAGUAGAACGGUGCUCUCGGUUUCGGGUUCGAAAACUGUCCGAUUUCCUGGUAUUCAAUCCAGGUUUUUCCACAAAAUGCUUUCGGCUGGCUAGGAGGUUCAACUCCUAGUACCUCGUACAUCAGUCCCAAAGGAAUUACUUCCGCAUUAAAUUUGAAUAUUUUCUGUUGUGAUAUUGCCUCACAGGGGCCUAAUAUCACUCGCUUCGGGUCAAUUGUGACCA